UGCAAGUCGAACGCGUUGGCCCAAUUGAUUGAUGGUGCUUGCACCUGAUUGAUUUUGGUCGCCAACGAGUGGCGGACGGGUGAGUAACACGUAGGUAACCUGCCCAGAAGCGGGGGACAACAUUUGGAAACAGAUGCUAAUACCGCAUAACAGCGUUGUUCGCAUGAACAACGCUUAAAAGAUGGCUUCUCGCUAUCACUUCUGGAUGGACCUGCGGUGCAUUAGCUUGUUGGUGGGGUAACGGCCUACCAAGGCGAUGAUGCAUAGCCGAGUUGAGAGACUGAUCGGCCACAAUGGGACUGAGACACGGCCCAUACUCCUACGGGAGGCAGCAGUAGGGAAUCUUCCACAAUGGGCGCAAGCCUGAUGGAGCAACACCGCGUGAGUGAAGAAGGGUUUCGGCUCGUAAAGCUCUGUUGUUAAAGAAGAACACGUAUGAGAGUAACUGUUCAUACGUUGACGGUAUUUAACCAGAAAGUCACGGCUAACUACGUGCCAGCAGCCGCGGUAAUACGUAGGUGGCAAGCGUUAUCCGGAUUUAUUGGGCGUAAAGAGAGUGCAGGCGGUUUUCUAAGUCUGAUGUGAAAGCCUUCGGCUUAACCGGAGAAGUGCAUCGGAAACUGGAUAACUUGAGUGCAGAAGAGGGUAGUGGAACUCCAUGUGUAGCGGUGGAAUGCGUAGAUAUAUGGAAGAACACCAGUGGCGAAGGCGGCUACCUGGUCUGCAACUGACGCUGAGACUCGAAAGCAUGGGUAGCGAACAGGAUUAGAUACCCUGGUAGUCCAUGCCGUAAACGAUGAGUGCUAGGUGUUGGAGGGUUUCCGCCCUUCAGUGCCGGAGCUAACGCAUUAAGCACUCCGCCUGGGGAGUACGACCGCAAGGUUGAAACUCAAAGGAAUUGACGGGGGCCCGCACAAGCGGUGGAGCAUGUGGUUUAAUUCGAAGCUACGCGAAGAACCUUACCAGGUCUUGACAUCUUGCGCCAACCCUAGAGAUAGGGCGUUUCCUUCGGGAACGCAAUGACAGGUGGUGCAUGGUCGUCGUCAGCUCGUGUCGUGAGAUGUUGGGUUAAGUCCCGCAACGAGCGCAACCCUUGUUACUAGUUGCCAGCAUUAAGUUGGGCACUCUAGUGAGACUGCCGGUGACAAACCGGAGGAAGGUGGGGACGACGUCAGAUCAUCAUGCCCCUUAUGACCUGGGCUACACACGUGCUACAAUGGACGGUACAACGAGUCGCGAACUCGCGAGGGCAAGCAAAUCUCUUAAAACCGUUCUCAGUUCGGACUGCAGGCUGCAACUCGCCUGCACGAAGUCGGAAUCGCUAGUAAUCGCGGAUCAGCAUGCCGCGGUGAAUACGUUCCCGGGCCUUGUACACACCGCCCGUCACACCAUGAGAGUUUGUAACACCCAAAGUCGGUGGGGUAACCUUUUAGGAGCCAGCCGCCUAA
RNAcentral lists this ribosomal RNA (1448 nucleotides) under Limosilactobacillus fermentum. Its description in RNAcentral is "bacterial SSU rRNA". It matches the Rfam family "Bacterial small subunit ribosomal RNA". The record is from RNAcentral. Lineage: Bacteria; Bacillati; Bacillota; Bacilli; Lactobacillales; Lactobacillaceae.